RNAcentral lists this long non-coding RNA (2355 nucleotides) under Amborella trichopoda. Its description in RNAcentral is "long non-coding RNA (ATRI_LNC000385)". Lineage: Eukaryota; Viridiplantae; Streptophyta; Magnoliopsida; Amborellales; Amborellaceae. The record is from RNAcentral.
ACGGAUUCUAUCCCCUCGCUGGCACGCCUCUACUCUCUCUUCCUCCCUUGCCUUCCCCAUUCUCUCUCCCUCUAACUCUCAUACCUUGCCCUCCCUCAUGCUCUCUCUCUUUCCUAAGAAACGCAGAAAACUAUGCCAUACUCUCUCUCUUGCGUUACUAUUCUCUCACGCCUUGCCCUCCCUUUCUCUCAAGAUCUCUAUUAGGGAUGUAAUGGUAAUGAUGGAAGGCACCUUUUUUUUUUUGUUGAAGAUUGAAUGAAGGAUUACCUCUUUGAGAACCCAUUAUUUCAUUCAAGUUCAAAGCUACCCUCAAAAUCUGGAUUUUGAAUAUGGAGGUCUCCUGCAGUUGCUGGUUUGCUUAUUUUUCACAAGAUAAGGAGGCAUGAGUGGAAGAUCUGAUGCUACAAUGAGAGAUGGUCAUGAUAGGUAAUGAAGCCCCCAGUUAUUAAUGAGCAUUUUGGAUCUUUUCAAAAAGCAAAUUUUGUUUUUGAGCUGCUAUUUCUCUUGCAAUAGAACCCUAUAGAACCACUGACUUUUUCAUUAGUAACACAUUUUGAUGCAUUGUACCCACUCCAAUUAUUGACUUGUUUGUAAAACUUGGUGAGAAACAAUACAUAUGCAAAGUGCUCAAUAAAAUUCCUAAUAGAGCUCUAAUGGAGAAGUUACUUCUAUUAUAAAAAAUUUAAAAUAAAAAAUUUAUGUUGAUUAAUGGUAAUAAUAGAGCAGCUCUGUUUUGGCCCAUUUAUGCUUCUUACAAUGCUCAGUAGCAUAGUAAUAAUAGAGCAGCUUUGUUUUUGGCCCAUUUCUAUAUGACUAAUUGUGAAGGCUUAACAUAGUAAUAAUAGAGCAGCUCUAUUUUGGCCCAUUUAUGCUUCUUACAAUGCUCAAAAAUUUUGUGGCCUUGCAUUGUAUUUUUGCUUGUUCUCAAAAUUCCUCUUAUGUGUCGUUGUUACGCCCUCAAACAUGGAUUUUUUAUUUUUUUCGAAAGGAAAAAACUUGGACAUGCAUGUCAUUGUCAUUCUAAUGUGUUUUUUGGAUGAGGGGCUGUCUAAUUAUUAUUUUAUCUCUAAUGUGGUAUAUAUGAGUAGAUGAUUAGUGAUGUGUUAUUUGCUUGUUAUGGCUACUAGCUCUUUUGAUAUGUGGUUUACUGAUAUAUCUAUUACAUACGAGUUGCUUAAUUUACGUGGUUUACUUAAUUUAGGUUUGGUAGUAUUCAGGUUUUUAAUUUAUUUAGAGUUAUUUUUCCAUUUUUUUGUUGUUGUAGAGAUUUGAGGGGUAUAAAGGAUAUUUAUUUUAGAAUUUUAGGAGUUCUCCUAUCUUUUAGAUAGAGAGAAAAUAGAAAGGACUAUCUUAGAUGAUAUGUUUUAGUCUUUAUGAAGUCAGUCUUCUAGUUCGAAAUUCAAACUUUUGAUAAACAUGUAGUUAGAAAGGUAAUCAUUUUUAGGAAAGAAAGAAGUUUUAGAUGGAGAUAGAGAUUUGCAUGGGAGUUAGAGAGAAAAAGAUAAGAGAGUUUAUUUUUUGUAGGUUGUUUUAUUCAUUUACUUAUUUUCUUGUAAGUGUAUUUAAAUAGAAGAAGUCCUUUAUUGUAAAGGGAAAAAGAUUAUAAUUGAAUAAAAUUGAUCUUGUGAAAAAAUCUUUUUAGGUGGAUUCCCUUGCAAUAUUGAGAGAUAGUAUAUUCUCUUAACCCUUUUUUAUUUUUUAUUUCUAUUUUUCUGAUUUAUUCUUUCUCCUUGCAUCAAUGAAGCUACAAGGCUCAUCAAUUUUUAGUCGUACAAAUUUGGAUAGAAAUCAUUUUGACUUAACAUAGUUGAAUAUCGUUGAAAAGAAGAAAUUGUUGUGAACUUUAGAGAUGUUGGAAAUUGUUGUGACUUAUCUUUCUUUACUUUUUCCAUGUUAUUAUUUGUUUUGAUGAUGGCUGGAUUAUGUAAUUUGAAAUGCAAAUUGUCUUUUUAAAUCCUUAGCCCUUUAAGAUGUUAUCUUUCUUUUUAAAUUCUGGAAAACAGGAAGUUGGGGAUUGAUGCACAUUGAUUGUUGCUCAUCUUAAGCUUCACACAAAAGAGGAUGCCACAGUGCACAUGCAGUCAAAGUUGGGGAUGUAUGCACAUUGAUUGUUGGGGAUAGAUGCAUAUUGAUUGUUACUCAUCUUAGGGUGUCACCCUUUUGGAACAAACUAAAGAAGAAUGCAAAAGGUAUGUUAAAAGAUGUCCUCAACAUCAAGUCCAAGAAUACUAUGUAGUUUCAAGCAAUGGACUACAAUUCAGUGCCUAUGCAUAUGUAUUCAUAGAAGCACACCAUAAUUCUUCAAAAUAUGUAGGUUCUGAAUCUUCAACUUAAAUUUUUUUCCCCCAAUUAUCC